This 194-nucleotide ribosomal RNA is filed under the name uncultured bacterium. Its description in RNAcentral is "partial 16S ribosomal RNA". It matches the Rfam family "Bacterial small subunit ribosomal RNA", at positions 338 to 524 of the family's 1533-position model. The record is from RNAcentral.
CCUACGGGAGGCAGCAGUGGGGAAUAUUGGACAAUGGGGGAAACCCUGAUCCAGCCAUGCCGCGUGUGUGAAGAAGGCCUUUUGGUUGUAAAGCACUUUAAGCAGUGAAGAAGACCUAACGGUUAAUACCCGUUAGCGAUGACAUUAGCUGCAGAAUAAGCACCGGCUAACUCUGUGCCAGCAGCCGCGGUAAU